This 465-nucleotide ribosomal RNA is filed under the name Vreelandella stevensii. RNAcentral describes it as "partial 16S ribosomal RNA". It matches the Rfam family "Bacterial small subunit ribosomal RNA", at positions 338 to 795 of the family's 1533-position model. Lineage: Bacteria; Pseudomonadati; Pseudomonadota; Gammaproteobacteria; Oceanospirillales; Halomonadaceae. The record is from RNAcentral.
CCUACGGGGGGCUGCAGUGGGGAAUAUUGGACAAUGGGCGAAAGCCUGAUCCAGCCAUGCCGCGUGUGUGAAGAAGGCCUUCGGGUUGUAAAGCACUUUCAGUGGGGAAGAAAGCCUUGGGGCUAAUACCCUCGAGGAAGGACAUCACCCACAGAAGAAGCACCGGCUAACUCCGUGCCAGCAGCCGCGGUAAUACGGAGGGUGCGAGCGUUAAUCGGAAUUACUGGGCGGAAAGCGCGCGUAGGCGGUCUGAUAAGCCGGUUGUGAAAGCCCCGGGCUCAACCUGGGAACGGCAUCCGGAACUGUCAGGCUAGAGUGCAGGAGAGGAAGGUAGAAUUCCCGGUGUAGCGGUGAAAUGCGUAGAGAUCGGGAGGAAUACCAGUGGCGAAGGCGGCCUUCUGGACUGACACUGACGCUGAGGUGCGAAAGCGUGGGUAGCAAACAGGAUUAGAUACCCCGGUAGUC